AGGAUGAACGCUGGCGGCGUGCUUAACACAUGCAAGUCGAACGAUGAAGGCUGGAGCUUGCUCUGGCUGGAUUAGUGGCGAACGGGUGAGUAACACGUGAGUAACCUGCCCCAGACUCUGGGAUAAGCGCUGGAAACGGCGUCUAAUACCGGAUACGAGCUUCCACCGCAUGGUGAGAAGCUGGAAAGAAUUUCGGUCUGGGAUGGACUCGCGGCCUAUCAGCUUGUUGGUGAGGUAAUGGCUCACCAAGGCGACG
RNAcentral lists this ribosomal RNA (256 nucleotides) under uncultured soil bacterium. RNAcentral's name for it is "partial 16S ribosomal RNA". It matches the Rfam family "Bacterial small subunit ribosomal RNA", at positions 26 to 278 of the family's 1533-position model. The record is from RNAcentral.